UUGACAGGAUGCCCGCCAUUGCAAUUCCAAACAAAAUAGCUUCACAGAAGAUCCUGUCUGAAGAAAACUGAGAUUUUUCUCACAAUUUGGGGGCUCAUCCAGGAUCUUGUUGCCUGACGAAGAUUUCUCACCACCACAGACAGGAAGGUGACAAACUGAUUUCAGCGGUCCCGUCAGGGGUGGUGGGUCAUCUCGGUACAGCUGGCAAAGGACCAAGACUGUUCAUCUGAAGACAGGCUCUGCAAAGCUCUGGGGAGAAGGGAGGCCAGCACAGACAUACGCAGACACAGCCCACAUAUAGUCCAGCCCAGAUCAGUAACAGGCACAGGGAUUACUGCCAAUAACUCAGACUGGGAAGCCAUGCAUGGACUGAGGACCAUAGGAUCAUUAGCUCAAACCACACCCUUGGAAGUCCUGAUCCAUCAGUUCCAAGCAGGAGAUUGGGAUCAGAUGUGAACAUGGAGAGAAUUGAAACUUAGUGGGAUGGACUGUUCCAAGUGCUCCUGACUACUGAGAUGACAAUAAGAAUGGCUGAGAAAAGGUGGACUCAUACCUGGGUAAAAGUGUCAGAUAACCCUGAUACCUGACAGACUGCAUUAACAAAGACUUUUAAGGGGUUGUUGUCUGAAGAUUUGUUCUCACAUGACGACUUCAAGAGACAAAGGCCUUUAUAUCCUGAAUCACAACACCAUGGACAGACACCAUGCAUUUUCCCUAAUCACACAGGGAGCGGGGAAGAGCCCAUCACAGAGCACACACCUACACAGAGCGCUGGAAACCCUGCAAGCGGUGCCAGAAGACCACCACUUUAGCAUCUUUCUCUGGUCAGCAGUGUGCAGGACAAGCCAGAAGCAGAGCAGCAGUGGGAGGCAGUACAGCUCUGCCACAUGGGAGCACAGAUCUGGCAGGCAGCUGGGAUAUCCCCCAGCUUGAGAGGAUGAGGAGGGGUGAGCCAGAGCCUCAGCUCUUACUGGAGCUGCACCAGCACCCAUGGAGAGGGCCAUGGGUCUAUGGCUACAAAGAAAUCAAGUAGCCUCCCACUAUUUCCAGAUAAUUUAAUGCAUAUCACUUAAUAGAGAUACAACUGUGUAGAUAAAAGAUAAUGACAAAAAAAAAAAAAAAAAACAACACACUGGUAAAUUGGGAAAGCAGCUAGACUCUGCAAACUGCCUGGCAGCUGAGCUGCCAGGUCUCACAUCCCUCAGGAGGUGGCACGAGUAAGUAAUGCAUCUGUCAGGGACAACUUUCAGAAGGGAAGUCUUGCCCACAAGAUAAGCCACAGCCUGGGAAAUCUGAGCCAAGGUUUCCUACCGGGUGAUGGCUUCAUUAACCAAUAAUUAAUAAACUACAAAAAUGAACUGGCAGGGAUUGAAAAUCAUGUAUUUAAUGGGCAAGAAGUCAAAGAAAGGACAUCACAUCCAUGAGGGGAGACUAGAGCUUUUUUCCUUUGCACAGCUGCCAUAGGCUAUUUUUCCUGUGCUGCUUUUCCACUGUCACUGAGUGGAAGUCUGCAUGUCUCACCAGUUGCAAGCUUAGGCCAACAGGCCAGACACAUCUCCAGAAUCAUUUCACGUUGGCACCAGAAGAUCUCCUCCUCCUCCACUGCUCAAGGGAGAAGGGAUCCUGUUACAAAAGCUCCAGCACCACCACUCAGGAAGCUCUGCAAUACACUGGAAGAAGAGGUGCCAAAGAUGCGGUGAAUGAGACCACAAAGAGCUGGAUGAGCUGGCCCCGACAGCAGUUAUUCCCACAGCCAAAGCUCAAGAGAGAUGGAAUACAUUAAAAACACCCACAGCUCUUGUGGGAGAACAACAAGUACCAUUGCAGACUCCGGAAUGACUGAUUCAAAACAAAUAUAUCCGUUAUCCACAUUGGGUUUGGACACGAGACCAGGCUGCAUGCUAAGGCAUUGUUUUUGGAUUUCUUAACUAUGAGUUUGGUCUGGUGGAAACUGUCCUGUAAGGACACCUCAGCAGCAAGACAGGUAACUGUGGGUGGCCACAGAACAAUCUCAGAAAGAGACAUCCUGUGUCAGUACUCCUCGGGGCAGGCUUUGGCAGCACAGGUGUCUUUCCUCAGGCACAAGCCCCCUCUUCUCAGGAGUGGCACUGCUUAGAUGCCAUGGAGACAAGGCAUGGAGAGGGUGUUUGAUUUGUGUUGGAUUUGCUGAGCUUGCAGCCAGGUUUCUUUCCUCUUAGCAUUGCAGCCUCUUUAUACAAUGCUGAAGGUGAGCAGCCCUGCAGAGCUCAGCCAAGCCCAGGUAGCAAGGGCCAGCUCUCACACACAAAGCACGACGCUGGGGCAGGUGAAAGAGUUGCUCUUCUCAUGGAAGCAGACACGAAGGGGCAUCUGGGCUCACAGCUUCCUUUCUCAGCACAGAACACGGGUUAAAAUGACUUCCAGUGCCAGCUCAAGCUCAGAGAACCAUGAGAUGUUUUGGUGGCAACCCCAUGUGGCUCUGCAGUUACUUGCAGCCUCAUGGGUCAAAAGCCCUCAACAUUGCUGGCCCAGACCUCCUCCUUAACCAGAAUUACCCAGCUGAAGUUGGCAGUUAUUAUUUCCAGAUAAGAUACCCAUCUACCCUCUGCUUACAUAAGCAAGUGCCGAUACUCCAAAUAGUCUUUUCCCUUGGCAGGAGAGAAAAAUAAGGCUUACUGUAAAUAAAGAUGACUGUUUAAUUACCUUCUGAUAAAGUCUAAGUUUCAAUGUUUCUGGGUUUAAUAUAAAGUCAUACCUAUUUCAAUUCUUUUAACUCUAAUAACUAGACCACAUCAAGUCACAAGGAAUUGUUAGUGGUACUGUUUGAGCAGAGCCCAUGGUUUCAUACCAUGAUAAGUUUAUCAUGUUGUAUUGCCAAUUUAUCUGUGACUUGUUGCUGUUUGACUGGCAGCAAUAAAAAUACCCUCUGCUUUACUACACAAGUGAAA
Long non-coding RNA from Anas platyrhynchos (mallard), 2927 nucleotides. RefSeq lists it as uncharacterized. NCBI's taxonomy places the organism in Eukaryota, Metazoa, Chordata, Aves, Anseriformes, Anatidae. The record is from RefSeq and is a predicted model, not a curated record.